Molecule: ribosomal RNA, 207 nt
Filed under: uncultured bacterium
Lineage: Bacteria
Description: partial 16S ribosomal RNA
Rfam family: Bacterial small subunit ribosomal RNA
Source: RNAcentral
CGUGUAGGCGGUUAGGCAAGUCAGGUGUGAAAUCCCUUGGCUCAACCAAGGAAGUGCGCUUGAAACUGCUUAACUAGAGUACAGGAGGGGAAAGUGGAAUUCCCAGUGUAGAGGUGAAAUUCAUAGAUAUUGGGAGGAACACCGGUAGCGAAGGCGGCUUUCUGGCCUGAUACUGACGCUGAGACGCGAAAGCGUAGGGAGCAAACA